RNAcentral lists this transfer RNA (85 nucleotides) under Nautiliaceae bacterium. RNAcentral's name for it is "tRNA-Leu". It matches the Rfam family "tRNA". From Rfam's summary of the family: Transfer RNA (tRNA) molecules are approximately 80 nucleotides in length. Lineage: Bacteria; Pseudomonadati; Campylobacterota; Epsilonproteobacteria; Nautiliales; Nautiliaceae. The record is from RNAcentral.
GCGGGAGUGGCGGAACUGGCAGACGCGCCAGACUUAGGAUCUGGUGCCACAAGGCGUGGAGGUUCAAGUCCUCUCUCCCGCACCA